RNAcentral lists this ribosomal RNA (486 nucleotides) under uncultured bacterium. Its description in RNAcentral is "partial 16S ribosomal RNA". It matches the Rfam family "Bacterial small subunit ribosomal RNA", at positions 30 to 507 of the family's 1533-position model. The record is from RNAcentral.
AUUGAACGCUGGCGGCAUGCCUUACACAUGCAAGUCGAACGGCAGCACGGGUGCUUGCACCUGGUGGCGAGUGGCGAAAGGGUGAGUAAUACAUCGGAACAUGUCCUGUAGUGGGGGAUAGCCCGGCGAAAGCCGGAUUAAUACCGCAUACGAACUACGGAUGAAAGCGGGGGACCGUCGGGCCUCGCGCUAUAGGGUUGGCCGAUGGCUGAUUAGCUAGUUGGUGGGGUAAAGGCCUACCAAGGCGACGAUCAGUAGCUGGUCUGAGAGGACGACCAGCCACACUGGGACUGAGACACGGCCCAGACUCCUACGGGAGGCAGCAGUGGGGAAUUUUGGACAAUGGGCGAAAGCCUGAUCCAGCAAUGCCGCGUGUGUGAAGAAGGCCUUCGGGUUGUAAAGCACUUUUGUCCGGAAAGAAAUCCUUGGCCCUAAUACGGUCGGGGGAUGACGGUACCGGAAGAAUAAGCACCGGCUAACUACGUG